AAUCAAAAGCCCAAGUAGAAGUGGAAAAGUUUACCAUAUUAACGUACCAUAUCAAUUUUAUGCUAAAAUUUUGUACCAAUUGGUAAUGAUAUGGUAACUGUACCGUUUUGGGCUAAACGCUUCAUUGAGUAGGAAAAAUUAUUUGAGCUUGGACUAGGUUUAUUUUAAUAAAAAACCAGGCUAUAAUUUUAUUUAAUGAAAAAGACUUAAAUUUUAAUGAAAAACUCUUAAAUUUUAAUAAA
RNAcentral lists this long non-coding RNA (242 nucleotides) under Malus domestica (apple). RNAcentral's name for it is "long non-coding RNA (MDOM_LNC010914)". Lineage: Eukaryota; Viridiplantae; Streptophyta; Magnoliopsida; Rosales; Rosaceae. The record is from RNAcentral.